UACGUAGGGUGGCGAGCGUUGUCCGGAAUUAUUGGGCGGUAAAGAGCUCGUAGGCGGUCUGUCGCGUCGGUCGUGAAAACUUGGGGCUUAACCCUGAGCUUGCGGUCGAUACGGGCAUGACUGGAGUUCGGUAGGGGAGACUGGAAUUCCUGGUGUAGCGGUGAAAUGCGCAGAUAUCAGGAGGAACACCGGUGGCGAAGGCGGGUCUCUGGGCCGAUACUGACGCUGAGGAGCGAAAGCGUGGGGAGCGAACAGG
RNAcentral lists this ribosomal RNA (256 nucleotides) under uncultured bacterium. RNAcentral describes it as "partial 16S ribosomal RNA". It matches the Rfam family "Bacterial small subunit ribosomal RNA", at positions 524 to 776 of the family's 1533-position model. The record is from RNAcentral.